AACACCGCGUGCGGACUCGCCCGCCCUCCCGGAGACGCGCUGGCCGCCCUGGACCGGCUUCCCCGACUGUCCCCCGAUGGGCGUGGGGACAGCCAUCCAGUGAACUGCGUCUCGGCAACAAAGGACCGGACCGGGCGGCCUGUCCGGACCCGAGACCAGAGUCACUUGUGUGGCCCGUCGACAUCCCAAAAGAGCCGCCCUGCCUCUCCCUCCCCUCCCGUUUCCGGCUCCAGUCCAGCCCUUCCUGCCCGGCCAGCGCGGGUUCGCCUCCCGCCGCGGAUCCCGUCCCGCCUUCCUCCAGGAGCCCUCCUCACUCGGGAUGAGUGAGUGCCGCCCUUCUCAGCCCUUUGGCUAAGAUCCGACUUGUCUUGCCGCAGUGACACCCGAGUGAAUGGGAAGGGACAGCGUCUCGUCACGACGCCGCCUCCCCUGGCCCUUCCUGGCUGGCGCACGUCGCAGGCUGCACAGGCCUUCUCUGUCCUCUGCUCCAGUGAGGCUUGCUUUCCAAGAAAGGUAAUACAUCGAACUAGGUGAAGGUCUGCGAAGGUUGCCCCUUCCCAAAGAUGUUUAUUCUGACAGAAGACCGAGAGCUCAGUCUGCGAUGCUGGAAAUGCAGCAUCUGGGAAAGGCCUCAGAGAAGGAGGCUCACAGAAUGUUAAAUUGGAAGCUGCAACUAAGGACCAAGGAUACAAAAGAUAUUAGAUUUCACAGAAACCAUUCAAGAAUUGCAGAUUUGACACUUUGACUCCUUCCCGGCCUGGAAGGAGGAGUGCCUGAGAGGAGGGUUUCUCUGGUGAGCGCUCCUUGGACAAGGGUCACGGUGGGUCCCAGGCGCAGGCCGGCCGUGUGCCCCCACCCUGGCUUGCAACAUGCUGAUGGCCCUUGGGGGGCUGCGACCCUACCCGCAGUGGGAUCCCAGCACCGAACCGCUGGGCUUCGCACCCCCUUUAACCAGACAGCACGUGGGGCCAGACUGGAGCGUGGAGCCUGCCUCAGCGACAGACUCCCAGACACUCACUGCUUCCUCAGUUCAGCCUUGGUAACCACGAGUCCUCACCGAGUUGGAAACUAUAGCUGAAAGUGCUCUUGACAGAUGGUAUCGGUCAACACGCCGCAGCCUCAGACUUGCCAGAGCUCACGACCAGGCCGACGUGGUCUGCCCCAGACGCACAUCGUCAUUACUGGCGCCCGUGACCCUGAGGAAUCUUGCCUUAUUACCAGCCCCCUUGAAAGCAUGUCAUUUUGUCAACGCAAAAAUCUCGCUACACCCUAAGACACUGGCCGAUGAGUUUGCAGUCCCUAGCGUGGAGCCCUGCUCACAGCACACGUUCCGAGCUCCCUGACGGAGAGAACGCGGGUGCCAGCCGCUCCCUGCCCCUCUGAGCCACUGGGAGGCACCUGCGCUGCCUUGUGACACGCUGGGCACAGGGCACAGCUUCUCCUUAAGUGCGCACCUUCCUCU
Microcebus murinus (gray mouse lemur) is the source of this 1462-nucleotide non-coding RNA. NCBI's taxonomy places the organism in Eukaryota, Metazoa, Chordata, Mammalia, Primates, Cheirogaleidae. The record is from RefSeq and is a predicted model, not a curated record.